GAUGAACGCUGGCGGCGUGCCUAAUACAUGCAAGUCGAGCGAACAGAUGAGGAGCUUGCUCCUCUGACGUUAGCGGCGGACGGGGGAGUAACACGUGGAUAACCUACCUAUAAGACUGGGAUAACUUCGGGAAACCGGAGCUAAUACCGGAUAAUAUAUUGAACCGCAUGGUUCAAUAGUGAAAGACGGUUUUGCUGUCACUUAUAGAUGGAUCCGCGCCGCAUUAGCUAGUUGGUAAGGUAACGGCUUACCAAGGCAACGAUGCGUAGCCGACCUGAGAGGGUGAUCGGCCACACUGGAACUGAGACACGGUCCAGACUCCUACGGUAGGCAGCAGUAGGGAAUCUUCCGCAAUGGGCGAAAGCCUGACGGAGCAACGCCGCGUGAGUGAUGAAGGUCUUCGGAUCGUAAAACUCUGUUAUUAGGGAAGAACAAAUGUGUAAGUAACUAUGCACGUCUUGACGGUACCUAAUCAGAAAGCCACGGCUAACUACGUG
RNAcentral lists this ribosomal RNA (497 nucleotides) under uncultured bacterium. RNAcentral describes it as "partial 16S ribosomal RNA". It matches the Rfam family "Bacterial small subunit ribosomal RNA", at positions 28 to 507 of the family's 1533-position model. The record is from RNAcentral.